UACGGAGGGUGCGAGCGUUGUCCGGAAUCACUGGGCGUAAAGGGCGCGUAGGCGGCCUGAUAAGUAGGGGGUGAAAUCCUGCGGCUUAACCGCAGGGCUGCCUUCUAAACUGUCAGGCUCGAGCACAGUAGAGGCAGGUGGAAUUCCCGGUGUAGCGGUGGAAUGCGUAGAGAUCCGGAGGAAGACCGGUGGCGAAGGCGGCCUGCUGGGCAGUUUCUGACACUGAGGCGCGACAGCGUGGGGAGCAAACAGG
This 253-nucleotide ribosomal RNA is filed under the name uncultured bacterium. RNAcentral describes it as "partial 16S ribosomal RNA". It matches the Rfam family "Bacterial small subunit ribosomal RNA", at positions 524 to 776 of the family's 1533-position model. The record is from RNAcentral.